GUGGUAAUGCCGGAUGCUCCAGUUGACCGCAUGGUCCUCUGGGAAAGCUUUUGCGGUAUGGGAUGGGGUCGCGUCCUAUCAGCUUGAUGGCGGGGUAACGGCCCACCAUGGCUUCGACGGGUAGCCGGCCUGAGAGGGCGACCGGCCACAUUGGGACUGAGAUACGGCCCAGACUCCUACGGGAGGCAGCAGUGGGGAAUAUUGCACAAUGGGCGCAAGCCUGAUGCAGCGACGCCGCGUGCGGGAUGACGGCCUUCGGGUUGUAAACCGCUUUUGACUGGGAGCAAGCCCUUCGGGGUGAGUGUACCUUUCGAAUAAGCACCGGCUAACUACGUGCCAGCAGCCGCGGUAAUACGUAGGGUGCAAGCGUUAUCCGGAAUUAUUGGGCGUAAAGGGCUCGUAGGCGGUUCGUCGCGUCCGGUGUGAAAGUCCAUCGCUUAACGGUGGAUCCGCGCCGGGUACGGGCGGGCUUGAGUGCGGUAGGGGAGACUGGAAUUCCCGGUGUAACGGUGGAAUGUGUAGAUAUCGGAAA
This 532-nucleotide ribosomal RNA is filed under the name Bifidobacterium adolescentis. Its description in RNAcentral is "partial 16S ribosomal RNA". It matches the Rfam family "Bacterial small subunit ribosomal RNA", at positions 160 to 703 of the family's 1533-position model. The record is from RNAcentral. Lineage: Bacteria; Bacillati; Actinomycetota; Actinomycetes; Bifidobacteriales; Bifidobacteriaceae.